This 468-nucleotide ribosomal RNA is filed under the name uncultured bacterium. Its description in RNAcentral is "partial 16S ribosomal RNA". It matches the Rfam family "Bacterial small subunit ribosomal RNA", at positions 28 to 507 of the family's 1533-position model. The record is from RNAcentral.
GACGAACGCUGGCGGCGUGCUUAACACAUGCAAGUCGAACGGAAAGGCCCUGCUUUUGCGGGGUUCUCGAGUGGCGAACGGGUGAGUAACACGUGAGUAACCUGCACUUGACUUUGUGAUAACUUCAGGAAACUGGGGCUAAUACCCGAUAGGAGCUCCUGCUGCAUGGUGGGGGUUGGAAAGUUUCGGCGGUUGGGGAUGGACUCGCGGCUUAUCAGCUUGUUGGUGGGGUAGUGGCUUACCAAGGCUUUGACGGGUAGCCGGCCUGAGAGGGUGACCGGCCACAUUGGGACUGAGAUACGGCACAGACUCCUACGGGAGGCAGCAGUGGGGAAUAUUGCACAAUGGGGGGAAGCCUGAUGCAGCAACGCCGCGUGCGGGAUGACGGCCUUCGGGUUGUAAACCGCUUUCGCCUGUGACGAAGCGUGAGUGACGGUAAUGGGUAAAGAAGCACCGGCUAACUACGUG